Molecule: ribosomal RNA, 466 nt
Filed under: uncultured bacterium
Lineage: Bacteria
Description: bacterial SSU rRNA
Rfam family: Bacterial small subunit ribosomal RNA
Source: RNAcentral
CCAGACUCCUACGGGAGGCAGCAGUGAGGAAUAUUGGUCAAUGGACGCAAGUCUGAACCAGCCAUGCCGCGUGCAGGAAGAAGGUGCUAUGCAUUGUAAACUGCUUUUAUACGGGGGUAAUUACAGAUACGUGUAUCUGGAUGAAAGUACCGUAUGAAUAAGGAUCGGCUAACUCCGUGCCAGCAGCCGCGGUAAUACGGGGGAUGCAAGCGUUAUCCGGAUUUAUUGGGUUUAAAGGGUGCGUAGGCUGUGAGGUAAGUCAGCGGUGAAAUGCCCCCGCUCAACGGGGUGAAGUGCCAUUGAUACUGCCUUGCUGGAAUGCGGAUGCCGUGGGAGGAAUGUGUGGUGUAGCGGUGAAAUGCAUAGAUAUCACACAGAACACCGAUUGCGAAGGCAUCUCACGAAUCCGCGAUUGACGCUGGUGCACGAAAGCGUGGGUAUCAAACAGGAUUAGAUACCCUCGUAA